Molecule: long non-coding RNA, 4304 nt
Filed under: Homo sapiens (human)
Lineage: Eukaryota; Metazoa; Chordata; Mammalia; Primates; Hominidae
Description: HSALNT0309634
Source: RNAcentral
AAUAAGAUGCUAGGUCCAGGGAGGGGCAGUGGGGUGGUUGGAGGGGAGAUAAGGCUAAAAAGGGGGAUCUGAAGUCUAGAAUUGUCCUGUGGGUAAAGAAAAGUUCCUGCAGGAGGGACAUGGGGCAGGGGGGCUUCAUCAGGAAGUGCUGAGGGACAGGAAAUCAGACAGAGAUGGCAGCUGGGCAUCCAGAUGUCUGGCCCCAAGGCUCAGACAAGGGCAGCUAGGUGCAGCCACAGCCUCUGCAGCCACCCUGGGGGAGAGACAGCUCCAGAUUCCCGCAAGGAGCAAAGAGAUUUUUGACUUUGUCUUCUUUUAUUGACAUUGAGGAGAAGCUUCUGACUCAGGCGAGCCUCACAAUAAGCUGUUUUUCAACUUCAGUAGACCCGCAGGACCUGCUAAGGUGAGGUGUUCUGGAAGGGUCUCUGCUCCUAGCAGUCACUGGCAGCUUGCCCAAAUUGGAGAAGUUUAACAUCUCUUUUCUCUGAGAAGUAAAAUGUGUUUCUUUGGUGGAUGUGAAACCAACAAACCACUGUGGUGCCUCUCUACAUCUGAAGGAUGAGCCAGCCAAGCCAGGGGAACUGACGACCCCACACACGUCUGCACUGCUGUGGCCGUGUUGAACACGGACUCCUUCUUCAGGGCAGCCUUGGGCCAUCGGAGGGCUGCUGUAUGCAGUGACGGCCACCAAGUGUCCUUGGCCAGGGGAGUGAUUUACAGGGACUGAGAUCCUGACUUGUGACCCAGACACGAAUGCAUCCUUGUUCCAUUUUGUUAUUGCUCAACCGUCAUCUGGCCAUCCCCAAAGCCCACCUCUGUGAGAAAGGCCAGUGCUUGUCCUCGUGACACCCCUGAGACCUCGAUGGAGCAAGUCCCAGGGCCCAUCAUACAUUUUUAAAGAAAAUCUUCUUUUGGUGAGAAGAUCAAAGGGCCAGGCAGAAAUGGAAAAGCACUUUCUGGCAUCAGACUUCCUCUGACUUCUCCGGUUGCCACACCACUGAAAGACUGCCCCACAGUGCGAGGGACGUCCACAUCUGCCUGGCUCUCCGAGGGAUGAACAGCCUUCAGUUCAGCUUCCUGUCACACCCCAAAAUCCACCAGGGCUCUGCAGUCAUAGAGCCCUGGAACCCAGAGGUGGAAACUUAAAGGAAUGAGUGCUCUCUCGCUCCAAAACCACAGAUAUCUGGUCCAUAGAGAACCCACCACACUUGUAUACAUUUUCAUACGUCUGCGCACAUACACAAAUGCACAAACACAUGUUCAGCUGUUGAUAAUCAUCUGAUCUUUUGCUCUUUCGAUGUAAAUAUGGCCAGAUAUCUCUGGCUUUAAUUCUCAUUAAAAUUUUGAAAGUUAUACUUUCUAUACAAUAUACAUCAUGGAUGUCCAAUCUUUUGGCUUCCCUGUGCCAGAUUGAAAGAAGAAGAAUUGUCUUGGGGCCUGGCGUGAUGGCUCAUGCCUAUUAAUUCCAACACUUUGGGAGGCGGAGGUGGGAGGAUCACCUGAGAUCAGGAGUUCACGACUAGCCUGGCCAACAUGGUGAAACCCCCCCAUCUCUACUAAAAAUAUAAAAAUUAGCGAAGCAUGGUGGCACAUGCCUGUAAUCCCAGCUAUGCAGGAGGCUGAGGCAGGGGAAUCACUUGAUCCCAGGAAGCAGAGGUUGCAGUGAGCCAAGAUUGCACCAUUGCAUUCCAGCCUGGGCAACAGAGUGAGACCCAGUCUCAAGAAAAAAAAAAAAGAAUUAUCUUGGGCCACACAUACACACAUAAAAUACACUAACACUAAUGAUAGCUAAUGAGCUAAAAAAAAUUUCAAGAAUAUCAUAAUGUUUUAAGAGUUUAUGAAUUUGUGUUGGGCCACAUUCAAAGUCAUUGUGGGCUGCAUGUGGCCCGAGGGCCGCAGGUUGGACAAGCUUGAUAUACAUAUUAUGUAUAUUAUAUAUUUCUGUGAAAACAGAAUAAAUCCAAGACUGAGGAUCUAAUUCCAAAAUUCAUUUUUGUAGGCAUUCUGAGACUUAACUAUUUUUCUAGUCACAUAAUAAGGAAAGGAUCCUUACAGAAAUACUGAAAGCUCUUGGUUCUGCCUUUGCUGAUGUUUUCUCUUUUCUCUAUUCCCUCUCCCUUCACACUCGUCCUCAUUCUACAGCCUCAAGCUUGUGUCAUUGUUCACAUCUGCUUCCCCAUCUCUGGAGUCUCUGUCAAGGCUCACCCUGGAUUUGAGAAGGUGUGUGAGAAUGGACUGAGAUGACCUGAGCACGGGUGAAAGGUCCGCAUCAAACCCAGAAAGUCAGCCGAGAUCCAGGGGCGGGUUCUCAUCCUACGGCCUCUCUACAUUCGUUUCUGAGACACAAAAGGACUUCACAGUGAAUGUUCAAGCAAAUUAGAGCACAAAAACAAAAGGGUUGUGGGCAAGCAACUGCGAAGACCACAGCUGUGUUUUGGUAAAUUCCCGGGCGAGGAGGAUAUGCCGGGUGAGUGAGGGAGGCCAGAGAGCGACAGAGUUCUUGGGUUAACUGGAAAAUUCAAUUAUCCAGAACCACAGUCCAUCAGCAAUCUGUUUAGUCAAGGUUUUGCUUCACCUUCCUUCUUUGAAUCAAUGCUCUUUGAAACAAUAUCCCCAGGAGUUAUUCGCUAUAGAGUAGAAGCACAGAUUUUGUCUAUUUAGCAAAAUAGGAGACGAAAUGGAAUGCUGCUGGGCUAAUUGCUUUGCAAGGAAGAAGAGAGGCAAUACUUCAGCACUUUAACCAGAUUCCCUACUUUUGCUUUUUCCAUUUGAUCAAUUUACAUGUGUACUGCAAGAAAUUGUGUUAUAAGAAAGCUGAGCCAUUCUGGUGUUCACUAAGGAAUGUAGCUUUGAUUAGUCCUUGUGUUAAAACAAACAUAAAGUGUACGGGCUGCCACAGAAAUACUUAAGUAGAAGGAGCUCUUUGUGGGACAGUAACAUUUCUGUCAGUUCCCAUGUCUGUUACAUUAUUGAUUCCAUCAUUUUCUAGGAGCUCCAAAGAAAUUGUUUUCUGAAAUCCAUGUGGCUUUAGGAUUCUGAGUACAAAUAUGCUUUAUUUUAUAAGAAGUGAAUUAAUUCAUGCAGCUCUCUAAAGCCACUAGUCAGGAGUAGAAACCAUUGCCAGUAAGAACAAAAAUACUAAAGAGAAGCAGAAAUCCUACGCACAUGCCCUUUGUAACUGAUGUAAUUGGUUUUUAAAGUGAUGUAAUUUAAAAAAUACUGGAAUGUUUUGCAAUGACUCAUACCUUAAGCCACAUGGUCGGCAUCCGUGAAUGCUUGGCCACAGGUAUCGUUGACAAAUCCUUUGACCCUGUCAUUCUGAAACCCAUGCUGUCAGAGCCAUAGUUUCCAUCAAGAAAUCUGGCCAACGGGAUCCAUAUUUCCAGAUAGUGUCCACAUCAUCCAUCUAUUCACACUCUCACUCAAAAAAUAUAUCCUGAACUGUUAUUAUGGACAAAGCGCCAAAAAUGGUGGUUUUUAUCUUUUCUUUUUUUUUUUUCUUUCGGAAAUGUGGUAAUUAAGUCAAGUGUCAAAACAAAUGCAACUGCUUGGCAAAAAAAAAAAAAAAAAAUUGGCACUAUUUCCUCUGAAGAAACAGACUCUAUGCAUGGGAAUUGCUGAAAAUGGGGCAAAAAGUCCCCUUGUACACUCUGCAGACUGCCCCCCUCCCCUGCAAUCUAACCCUCUCAUCUCUUGCCUCUGCUCUUGCAGCAGUUUCUAGACUCCCCUCCCAGUGUCCACUCUGCCCUCAUCAUCGUCAUCCAUAGAGCAGUGGCAGGGAUUUUCACGUGGAUCCCCACACCAUUGCCCUGAGCAGCAUGGGGUGUGGGUGCCCCAGGACACUUGACUCUGCUCAGCCCGGCCCCCACCCAUCUCCCGCUGUUCACUCUGUUUGUUCUCCUUGGAAUAAGACAAGAUCAUUUUUGCCUCUGGAACAUUGCACUUGGCUGCUUCCUCUUUCUGGACUCCUUUCUGGGAUAUUUGCAAGGCCUCCGUUCAUCCCACAGAGGGUCUGCCUCUGACCAUCCCAUCUCAAAUAGCUGCUUCCCACCCACUCACAGUGGCUGACUCACACCACCUGGUAUGAUUGUCUUUAUCAAAAUGAUCAGCCAUCGAUUUGUUUUGUACCUGAACAUGUUUGCUGGUUUAUUUCCUCCCUCUUGUUUCUUUUGUUCACCUCUAUAUCCCCUGUGGUUUUGUAUGCUCAUCACGCAGUAGGUGUUCAGUAAACACUUGCUAAGUGUCUUUGUUUUCAAUUGCUGCUGUAACAAAUUACUGCAAGUUCGAUGGCUUAAAAACAACAC